AUGUAUUAUAAUGAUGUUGACUUUACUAGGGUGGGAAAUUUGGAAGACACUAUGAUGGUUGGUGAGGACAAAAGGAAAGGGAUAGAGGCGGUGGGUGAGUACAACUUCCCAAAGAGGCUGCAUGUACUUGCCGUUGAUGACCACCUUGUCUUCCUAAACAUCCUAGAGGCCCUCUUGCGCAACUGCAAAUACCAUCGUGAGCAUCUCAAUCGCCACCCUUGCUCUAAUCCAUUAGAAUUGAGGUUGUAUGAGUUGUUCUCUAUUAAUAAUGCUUCUUGCUUAGUUUCAUUUUGUGGAAACAAAAUUAUGUAG
Molecule: ribosomal RNA, 312 nt
Filed under: Triticum aestivum (bread wheat)
Lineage: Eukaryota; Viridiplantae; Streptophyta; Magnoliopsida; Poales; Poaceae
Description: partial small subunit ribosomal RNA
Source: RNAcentral